UACAGCAGAUCUGUUUUGUUCAGAUCGAAGAUUAAAGAUUAAAGAUCAUGAUGGGACUACUUCAGAAACAGAUUCAAGGUCCUGCUGAAUAGAAUAGAAUAGGAUAGAAUUAAAAUAUGCUUUGUUGUCAUUAUACAGUGUAUAACGAAGUUGGACAGCUUCUCCUUUUCAGUGCAAGAAAUCUUUAAAAAUAGUGCAAAACAGUCUAUUUACAAAUAUACAUAUAAAUAGCAGUGUGAAUAUAAAUAGCAAAGUGAAUGAGGUAGUGGUGUAUAUUGCACAUUUCACAUUAUAUUGUUGGCUGGGUGUGAGACAUGAGACGUGAGAGUUCAGGGUGAUGAUGGCUCUCGAAAAGAAUCUGUUUUUAAGUCUGUUUGUCCUCGCUUUAAUGCAUCUGUAGCGCCUUCGGGCAACAGGUCAAAAAGCUGAGAACCGGGAUGUGAACUGUCCUUGAUGAUGUUCUGAGCUCUGCCGAGGCACUGGGUGGAGUAAAUGUCCAUGAGGGAGGGGAGAGGACAGCCAACAAUCCUCUGUGCUGCUUUGACUGUCCUCUGAAGCCUCGCUCUGUCUGCCUCAGUGCAGCUCCUGUACCAGGUGGAAACAGUACGUCAGCAGGUUCUCUAUGGAUGAGCUGUAGGAGGUCAGCAGCAGCUUAGAAUAGAAUAGGUGAUAUAGACCAAUGAUACAGAAUAUGAUGAUAGAGACUGGUUCUAGGUCCGUGUAUAUUUUGGCAAUUGGAUAUUCCGUUCUGAAACGGUUAUUGAAAAACAAAAAACGAGUGGUUAGUUGAUUUUCGUUUUAAAACACAAAAAUUAAAAUUGAAAUACAAGGCGUUUUUCCUUUUCAUGAUCAAAAGGGGAUAUACGAAAUUUUAAAAAUGCUCUGAUUUUCAUUUUAUAUUUAGAAUAACAAAAAAAGUAAAAUCAGUAAGAGAAACGAAAAAAGGUCCGUUUUUUCAUUUUCUGAGACCGGAAGUGGUCAUCAGCAAGUGUGGAGCCAAACUGAGUACGGUGCAUAGACUGGAUAAAAUUUUUUUUUGGUUAGUUUUCAUGGUCAAAAUGAGAGAUCAGGUGGCUGAUCUUAAAAUAAAUCAAUAUUGAUUUUUUUUAUAGAACGUUAAAGUUUUACGAAGCCAGGGGGCGGGGCUACUUGAUUGACAGUCUGGUCUGGAAUGAUUGACAGGUCCUAUGGAGGAGGCAGCAGAGACUCUGCUCUCCUCGUUUGGAUUAAUUCUGAUAUAAUAACUGUUGGUUUAUUUAUCGGUGCAGCAGCAGAACCUUCUCCACAGACAGUUUUCCUGCCUGUUGGCUUGUUUUAACCAGUUUUCUACCUUCGGCUGAUUCUACUAGCAGACACUGAAAGGACUCUGAUAUUUCGGUGUCUCAUGUUCACUGUGAGGAUCUUCUGAGUGAAGCCAGCAGAAGGAAAACCUCAUCUGGAUGUGAAGAAGGAGACUGAAUGGACGACAUCCUCAGUGAACAACUUCUUGUUUAGCUUUCACUUACAGAAGCUCCAGCAGCGAGGUGUCACCAGCUCUGACCAGGAAGAAGAUCUUCACCCUGACAUACUUCAGAGCUUCUGCUGACGUGGACCAUCCAGCCAACCGGAGACAGACGCAGCUGCAGCUCAGCCAAUCACAGGCCAGCCCGCAGCUGUAAUAUGAGAAGUUAGACAGCAGGAAGAUUAGAAUAAUUUAUUUAUUAUAAUAAUCCUAUUUAUUAUAAUAACUUCAGACUGAGCAGCAGCAAGAUCUGUCAGACAAAGUAACUCUAUUAGAAUAAUUAUAUUUCUUACAAUAAUUGUAUUUAUUAGAAUAAUUCUAUUUAUUAGAAAAACUUUAUUAUAACAACUGUAUUUAUUAUGAUAAUAAUUAUAGUUAUUAUAAUAACUUAAUUUAUUAUGAUAACUUUAUUCAUUAUAAUAAUUCUAUUUAUUAUAAGAACUUAAUUUGUUAAGAGUAAUUAAGAUUUGAGGGAUGGGCUCGGUCUAAAACCUACAUUCUGGCCUGGUUUAAACAUUUCUCUACCACUUUUGAUGUGUGUUUGCGAUCAGUGUCUUGUGAACAUCAAAAAACAAAACCUUCUGCUGAUGGUUUUAGGUUUUCCUGAACAAUGCUGAGAUGAUCCUCCUUCUUCAUGAUUCCAUGUAGCAGCAGUUUCAGCGCCAGAUGAUGCUCUGAUUGGAGUUAAAGGCUUCUGUCCUCCAGAUAUAUUUCUGCUCUUUGUGGCCAAAUAGCUCCAUCUGGUUUUCUUUUUCUCCAGAAGGCUUUUCUUUGUCCAUCAGCAGCAACCUUCAGAGGAAGACCGUCCUUCUUUAUGGAAACUUCUCAGACCUGCUGUUUCUCUGAUUCCUGGUUGACGCUAGAUCAUCUUUAAAACUCGUCUCCUAGCAGCAGGUGACUGUUUGUGAUCAUUUUCUUUCAUGGCAGUGACACAACAUCUACACCACAGCUUUUAUUUACACCGCCAAGUUUUAGGACACACAAUAAAACAGAUUUCCACCAUCAGAAAAGUCCUGUGCUGUACCUGCUAGGUUUCUGUAAUGUUCUUCAGUCCAUGCUGAGCUUCACAGUUAUCUGAUUAUUUCUAAACAUCCUCCAGCAGUAAAUUUGGACCUGACUGACUCCAACACAAAGAACCGCAUGACAAUGUGUGUUGAGGUCUGAGUGGUUCAUCAUAGAACAAAAGCGCUGGUGGUGUAAUACCUGAAACCAUGAAGCGGAAGAACCUGACACCUGAUGAGCUUUACAUGGAUAGAUGGAACUGGAAGUGACUGGUUUCAGAUGUUUGAACAGUUUUAGGACUAAACAGGACACUGGAGGAGAAAGAUUUUUCUACUAAUAUUUCCACUAAUAUUUCUCAAAUGUUUGCAGUAUUUCUUUUGCUGCUGUAACAAUGCAGAUUUCUCCACUGUGUGAUUAAUAAAAGCUCAUCAUGUUGUAUUCCACGUCACAUUAAGUAAUAAAUACAUCCAAUAGAAACGCUGACACUUUCAGCCAAUUUUAACCAGUAAAAAGCCGAUCCUCUCUGAAACUAAAUAGUCUAAAGAGCUUAGAUAGCCUACCAUGCCCCCCCACAACAAAAUACCACCUAAUUUUUUUUAACCUUUAUGAUGUCCUCAAUGAGACUUUGAGUGCUAACAGUAAAAUAACUCAUUCCCACCAUAAUUUUUACACUAUUUUUACUUUAGCCCAAAAUGCGUUUUUUUCCCACCAAUUUUUCGGUUCGUUUUUACUGAAAAUUGACAUAGCUAUUGUAGCAAUUUCACUCAUGGUAAUCACAACAUAUUAUAUAUCCUAUAAAUCCUGGAAUCUCUAGUUUACAAAUAUAAUCAUAUUUUUCUUGUGUUUCCAUUACAAUAGAAAUGACAUAUGAUACAAUGACAGCAUGUCUGAGUUAACUUUUUCAUAGAAAUGUUCAAUGUUAGCAAAUCAAACUUUAUUUUAUAUAUAUAUUUAUGUCAACUUUUUUAUUGAUAUAUAGUACAUUCCUGAUAGAAUAUAUUCUAUAUUGCAUAUCUGCACUAUAAUAUUAUGCAUUGCAAUGUUUUGUUGCUUACAAGUAUUGACUUCCUGCAUUAUCUUUGGAUUCAUUUUGGAUCACUUUUCAUUCCGUUUGUUGUUCUUGUUACUUUAAGACUUUAUGUUCCGGCUGAGUUAAGGAUGUUUUAAAGGCUUUUCACUAAAGGAUGAGGGUCCAUCAUGGGUAAAACCAGCAGAUUUCACAAAAUUUCAGAUUUUACCCCAGAAGUAGCAGAUACACUGUACAUAGCAAUGUAAAUAAUCUUUGUUUGAGGAUUAACGUUUGCAGAGACAGGAAGUGAGGAGAACUGACUGAGUGAACUUCCUGUCUCUGCAGCUCACAGGAUGGAGCUUCGACCACAACUAUUUCACCAACUCAACAUCGUGUCUGUUUCCCUGGAAUUAGCUUCAAACCACAGAUUUGUUCUAAACAGUUUACAGUUCUCUGUUGGUUCCUUCAGGUUCUGUUAAAUAACAGCAUGCUGUAACAAAUUGCUGUAAAAAUACAGCAUAUUUUGUCCAGUAAUAUACCGUUCUUUGUAAAUACAGCUGAAUACUGUAAAUUCACAUAUUUUUAAAGAACAACCGUCCAAUCUUACAGCAGAUUACAGCAUUUUUCUGGUUUGGGUCGAUUUGAGUGUGACUGUUGCUGCAGUCCGACUGUUACUCGUCUCAACAAAUCUUCCUGCACAUUAACACAUUUAGCAAACAGUCAACACAAAGAAGUGACGAAAUAGGUUUAAAAUAGUAAGUAUCAGUGAUUUUACUCAUUACUGAGGGAAGAAUUAGGAGAAAAGGAAGAACUGAGGACGACAAUUUUCGACCACCUGUAGCUGAUCCAUCCUGCUCCGGUUCACUAAACAAGGUAACUGUGAUUAUUAAACAGUCAGCCAUAUUUUUAAUUCUGUCAGUCUAUUUAUGUUUUUUUCUUUGACAGUAACAUAAACAUAGCCAGUUAGUUACUGCUUGGUGUUAGCCACGAGUCGCUAGCAUGAAUGCUAAUGUUUCCCACACUGUUAGCUAGCAGCUAGCAUGAAUGCUAACGUUUCCCACACUGUUAGCUAGCAGCUAGCUAGCUAGCAUCCUCCCCUUUAGCUGCAGAGUGGACAAAACUUUGGGUCUUUCUUUUUAAACCAGACCAGGAAAAUGAAUUUCUAAGCAACCAGAUCUAGCUAGGUUAGGUUAGCUAUCUCUGUCUUUCGUUUAAUUUUCCAUCAAAUAUACAAUGUGAUGCUCCACUGAUCUGUUAUCACAUCUCCACAUGUACUUGUCUGCUUUCGACCAUUUAGGUAAUUUCAAGUUUUAUAAAGGUUGUAGGAUGUGUCAUGUUGCUUUUCUCUCCACUUAGGAAAGGUAAUUUUGGGUGUUAUGCAAACGGCUGCAAAAAUUAGAUUUAAAUGUGUAUUGAACUAAAUAGCUGUUUUAAGUGGAAGCCUCUGUUUUGCUUAAUAAUUUGAGUUUCCUGUUUUUUUAUUUUAUUUUUUGUUUGUUAGUUUUUUGAGGAAUGUGACAGAGUUCCAUAUUAUGUUCAAGGGAUCUUUGCCUACACACCUAAUAUAUUCUUUCUUUGUCAUUUCGUUGUAGGCUCUUUCUUGGUAUCAACCCUGAAAGGGGAACAAAGGCAGCCAGGAGAAGGUGAUGUUCAAGAGGUCCGGAAGCUGUUCCAGAAAAAGGCAUCUACUGUAAAUCCACAUGUAGCCUCCUUUAUAAAAAGACUGAUGGACUCUGAGUGGGACUUCAUGUAAACCCACAGCACCUCUCCACACAGGACUUCACUUUCACAAAGCAAAAGCCCCGUCUGCAACCAGAUGUUCAUGUUGUCAUUUUAAGGUAACAAGUCUCAGUAUUGUGUUGGGUUCAGUAUAAAAUACUUCAGUUCCAGGUUUGUUCCAUGACUUGGUGUUUAUUGAACAUGAUCAUGAGUUAUGAAAGACUGAUUCUGAAGGCAGGGUUCCUGAAAUGUGAUAUGCAAUUUUUAAAUAGAUUGUUGACAACUUGUUAAAUAUCAUGAAUUGUUUUUAUAGAUUUUAUUUUACAAGACUUGAAUUACUUGACAUUUGUUAGCUGCUGAAUGUGUUCAAUCAAACUCAGUGUACCUGAACUAGAACAUGCAGAAUGGGAACCUGUUCAGCAUGAGGAAAUGAUUGUAUGUUACUGAAAUUGAAUGGGUUAGAUAGGUCAGUUUUUGAACUAUGUUUGAUACAGAAUUGGCUUUAAUAAAAGCUAAAUGUUGAA
Long non-coding RNA from Amphiprion ocellaris (clown anemonefish), 5755 nucleotides. RefSeq lists it as uncharacterized. The transcript has 3 exons. The record is from RefSeq and is a predicted model, not a curated record. Lineage: Eukaryota; Metazoa; Chordata; Actinopteri; Pomacentridae.